CGGCGGACGGGUGAGUAACACGUGGAUAACCUACCUAUAAGACUGGGAUAACUUCGGGAAACCGGAGCUAAUACCGGAUAAUAUAUUGAACCGCAUGGUUCAAUAGUGAAAGACGGUUUUGCUGUCACUUAUAGAUGGAUCCGCGCCGCAUUAGCUAGUUGGUAAGGUAACGGCUUACCAAGGCAACGAUGCGUAGCCGACCUGAGAGGGUGAUCGGCCACACUGGAACUGAGACACGAUCCAG
RNAcentral lists this ribosomal RNA (244 nucleotides) under uncultured Staphylococcus sp. RNAcentral describes it as "partial 16S ribosomal RNA". It matches the Rfam family "Bacterial small subunit ribosomal RNA", at positions 96 to 334 of the family's 1533-position model. The record is from RNAcentral. Lineage: Bacteria; Bacillati; Bacillota; Bacilli; Caryophanales; Staphylococcaceae.